RNAcentral lists this long non-coding RNA (2054 nucleotides) under Nicotiana benthamiana. RNAcentral describes it as "long non-coding RNA (NBEN_LNC005038)". The record is from RNAcentral. Lineage: Eukaryota; Viridiplantae; Streptophyta; Magnoliopsida; Solanales; Solanaceae.
UAAAACAUGUAUAGUCUUAUAUGGUACCACCAAUAACAGUAGGAACAGGACGAAUGUUCACGCCCGAAGUCAUAUUAAAGAGAACAAAAGCAGUAACUUACGGGGCAGAAGGAUCAUAUUGGUAAUACCACUUAACUUCCAUUAACACAUUUUUCAGAAAUCCCAAGUUUCCUUAUGUUCGUACACGCAGCUUCUUUCCACAUUGUAUUUCACCGCCCUCAAGCAUUUCACCUUUCUCCUUCUCCGUCUUCUUUCUGGUGAGUAUUUUGUUAAUCUAAUGCAGCUCAUUGGUAAGUUUCAGCUCUUUGUUUUGUUUCCUGGUCUUCCUACCAUCCUGCAUUUUUACUCCAAACUGGAAUGCAGCUUUUAGCAUUGCUUCCUUCUGCUCAUUGUACGUUUCCCACUCCUUCUGUCUCUAAGUCCCAUCAAUGAAGCCGACCCUUUGCAUGUAGAAAAAAUAAUCAUUUAUCAAAUACUAUCCAGAGGAUUCUGACUGACAACACCACGUUAAGUUGCAGUUGAUUUCUCUGACAAGUGUUACUAUUGACCAAGCAGAUUCAACUAAGUGCCAAAAAAUUUCAGGCUUGUGAGGCAAUAAAUUUUUAUGCAGCUCAUUGGUAAGUUUCAGCUCUUUGUUUUGUUUCCUGGUCUUCCUACCAUCCUACAUUUUUACUCCAAACUGGAAUGCAGCUUUUGGCAUAGCUUCCUUCUGCUCAUUGUACGUUGCCCACUCCUCCUCUGUCUCAAAGUCCCAUCGAUGAAGCUGACCCUUUGCAUGUAGAAAAAAUUAUCUUUUAUCAAAUACUAUCCAGAGGAUUCUGACUGACAACACCACGUUAAGUUGCAGUUGGUUUCUCUGACAAGUGUUACUAUUGACCAAGCAGAUUCAACUAAGUGCCAAAAAAUUUCAGGCUUGUGAGGCAAUACAUUAUUUCCCUUUACACUGAUCAAUAACCUGAAGUAAAUCUGCUCUAUCAUAACAUGUAUAGAUUGUCUUAUAUGGUACAGCUAAUGUGUUUUGUCAAACGAGAGAGAGAGAGAGAUAGAAGUAAAGUUAGACUAGACUAGAACAACAGUAGGAACAGGACGAAUGUCCACUCUCAAAGUCAUAUUAAACAGGACUUUGCACACCCCCCUUACGAAUGUGAGGCUCAGCGAUCCUAAUUGUUUUACAGCAUCCCUAUGUUAGCUGCCUUUUAAGGUCUUUGCACACCCCGCUUAAGGAUGAAUUAACGACUAAUUGGAACAAUAAGGAUGAAUAUACAACAACAAUAAGGAUGAAUAUGGAAAAGAGAAAUAAAUGCUUCUUGUUUUUUUUUUCUGUUUUCUGAAACUUCAAAUAUCUGGAACUAAUUCAGUUUGCCAUUCACAAGAUUUAUUUUCCUGGUUUCUGGAAGUACCAUUGAUGGAACAUGAAGUACAAAAAGCAGUAAUAGCAGCAGAAAGCUCCUGCAACUGUCACAAACCCCUCCAGAUACUAAAUAUUAGAAUAAAAAACAAAUUCCUCCAGAAACUACUGGUUAUCUUUUUGUUAACAGGCCACCACCCAAUUCAAGCUAAGUACAUCUCCAGAAACUAUUGAUUAUCUUUUUGUUAACAGGCCACCACCCAAUUCAAGCUAAGUACAUCCCUUACAUAACAGACAAUUCCUUAAAUCGAGAAAUGCACAGGGAAAAAGAUAAUACAAAUUGUUAACAAGGUAACCAAUCAUAUGAAUGAAGGCAUCCGAUAAUAGAUACAUUUCAGCAGGUUUUACCUUCUGAAAAGCAACUGUUAGCAGUGUCACUAAUGCAAGCUGCGCAACAGCAGCUUCUGAUUCCUCUCCAGUCCUGUAUGCUAUUCCUAGACUUAUAAUGUGUACAUAUAAAGAAACUUGCAUCAUUACUCAUAUUAAGAGUGCAAUAAAAGAUGAUUUUCAAAAUAAAGUAGAAUGGCACAACAAUCAAAUAUCAAAACUGAUGUACCUCCUCAAUUGAGGCAUAGUUGUUGAUUAUUUGUGCAAGUUCGUAUUAUUUUUAUCUUGAAAAUGGCAUUCUUCAUGUUAAACAGCCAAA